UAACUGAAGAGUUUGAUCAUGGCUCAGAUUGAACGCUGGCGGCAGGCUUAACACAUGCAAGUCGAGCGGGGGAAGGUAGCUUGCUACCGGACCUAGCGGCGGACGGGUGAGUAAUGCUUAGGAAUCUGCCUAUUAGUGGGGGACAACAUCUCGAAAGGGAUGCUAAUACCGCAUACGUCCUACGGG
Molecule: ribosomal RNA, 186 nt
Filed under: Acinetobacter baumannii
Lineage: Bacteria; Pseudomonadati; Pseudomonadota; Gammaproteobacteria; Moraxellales; Moraxellaceae
Also listed under: 1 other name
Description: partial 16S ribosomal RNA
Rfam family: Bacterial small subunit ribosomal RNA
Source: RNAcentral